GACGAACGCUGGCGGCGUGCUUAACACAUGCAAGUCGAACGGAAGGGCCCUGCUUUUGUGGGGUGCUCGAGUGGCGAACGGGUGAGUAACACGUGAGUAACCUGCCCUUGACUUUGGGAUAACUUCAGGAAACUGGGGCUAAUAUCGGAUAGGAGCUCCUGCUGCAUGGUGGGGGUUGGAAAGUUUCGGCGGUUGGGGAUGGACUCGCGGCUUAUCAGCUUGUUGGUGGGGUAGUGGCUUACCAAGGCAUUGACGGGUCGCCGGCCUGAGAGGGUGACCGGCCACAUUGGGACUGAGAUACGGCCCAGACUCCUACGUGAGGCAGCAGUGGGGAAUAUUGCACAAUGGGCGGAAGCCUGAUGCAGCAACGCCGCGUGCGGGAUGACGGCCUUCGGGUUGUAAACCGCUUUCGCCUGUGACGAAGCGUGAGUGACGGUAAUGGGUAAAGAAGCACCGGCUAACUACGUG
Molecule: ribosomal RNA, 468 nt
Filed under: uncultured bacterium
Lineage: Bacteria
Description: partial 16S ribosomal RNA
Rfam family: Bacterial small subunit ribosomal RNA
Source: RNAcentral